This 374-nucleotide ribosomal RNA is filed under the name uncultured organism. RNAcentral's name for it is "partial 16S ribosomal RNA". It matches the Rfam family "Bacterial small subunit ribosomal RNA", at positions 527 to 896 of the family's 1533-position model. The record is from RNAcentral.
GAAGGUGGCAAGCGUUGUUCGGAAUCACUGGGCUUAAAGGGCACGUAGGCGGAGCAGUAAGCGCUUUGUGAAAGCCCCCGGCUUAACCGGGGAAAUGCUUGGCGAACUGCCAUUCUUGAGGCAAGUAGGGGUACAUGGAACUCUUGGUGGAGCGGUGGAAUGCGUAGAUAUCAAGAGGAACGCCAAUGGUGAAGACAGUGUACUGGGCUUGUCCUGACGCUGAGGCGCGAAAGCGUGGGGAGCGAACGGGGGAUUAGACACCCCGGUAGUCCACGCCGUAAACGAUGUCUACUAGGUUGUGGGGGUUCUGACACUGUCACAGCCGAAGCAAAAGUGUUAAGUAGACCGCCUGGGGGAGUACGGUCGCAAGGCUA